Long non-coding RNA from Ictidomys tridecemlineatus (thirteen-lined ground squirrel), 789 nucleotides. RefSeq lists it as uncharacterized. NCBI's taxonomy places the organism in Eukaryota, Metazoa, Chordata, Mammalia, Rodentia, Sciuridae. The record is from RefSeq and is a predicted model, not a curated record.
UGCAAUCUAAGAAAAAAAUGUUGUGUAAUAGAGGAGGCUUUCUCUUUUCAUUUCUCUCCCCCCACCCCCAUUGGCAUGGGGUGAGGGGCAAUGCAAUCCACACUCCUCCCAUAUGCGUCAACUUUCAUGUCUGUUUUACUGUUAUCUAUUCCAUUAAGAUUGUGAUUAAUGAAAGCUUCCCAAAUUUUAAAUAUUUUGAAAACUAGCCAAUGCCUGCUUGUUAGAGGCUACAUUGCAAACAAAUAGCAAUAAAAAUAAGGUGAUACAGGCUUUUGAAGUCUUCAGAGAAAUCAUCACUGUGAUCUUUGUACCACUGCUGCGGAAAAGAAGACAACAUUUCUGACAUUGUUAAUGACAACACGGCAGCUGAAAGAAAGCCCGGGUUUCUGGGACUAGCAUUAGGAUACAGAACUCCUGCUGAGCUCACCAGCUCCUUGCUUCGCACAGCUGCCUUCUCAGCUGGGGGUUUGAAAUCAGCACUGUGAGAAAAGACAGAAAUGACCAUGAUGCAUGUUCCUCACUAUAAGAAAAAGCAACAUGCAUUCCAUGAACUGGAGACCUGAUAAGUACUGAAAAUGAGAGGUUCUUGCUUUCUUUGAAGCAACAUAAUAUUUCUGAGUAGAAGAUGAGUCCAAAACAAACAGAGAUGCAUUUUCUCCACAUGAUGGAAGCAGUUAUUCCUGUUGCCAAGGAAACCUCCUCACUCAGCAAGGGUCCACCUUUGGAAACAAUUGCAAGACUUCUAAAACAGAUCAAUAAAGAAUGCUAAGACCUCUACUUCCUAACUAA